RNAcentral lists this long non-coding RNA (942 nucleotides) under Nicotiana tabacum (common tobacco). RNAcentral describes it as "long non-coding RNA (NTAB_LNC004468)". Lineage: Eukaryota; Viridiplantae; Streptophyta; Magnoliopsida; Solanales; Solanaceae. The record is from RNAcentral.
UUUUCCCAUUCAGUCAGUAUUAGGGUUUUAAACCCUAAACUGAACAUUUUCCAUUCAGUCAGCAUUAGGGUUUUAAACCCUAAACUAAACUCUUUCCAGCCAGUCAGUAUUAGGGUUUUAAACCCUAAACUGAACUUUCCCUUUAGACAGCAUUAGGGUUUUAAACCCUAAACUAAACUCUUUCCUUCAGUCAGCAUUAGGGUUUUAAACCAUAAACUGAACUUUUUCCAUUCAGUCAGCAUUAGGGUUUUAAACCCUAAACUGAACUCUUUCCUUUAGUCAGCAUUAGGGUUUUAAACCCUAAACUGAACUUUUUCCAUUCAGUCAGCAUUAGGGUUUUAAACCCUAAACUGAACUUUUUCCAUUCAGUCAGCAUUAGGGUUUUAAACCCUAAACUGAACUCUUUCCAGCCAGUCAGUAUUAGGGUUUUAAACCCUAAACUGAACUUUCCCUUUAGUCAGCAUUAGGGUUUUAAACCCUAAACUGAACUUUCCCUUUAGUCAGAGUCAGCAUUAGGGUUUUAAACCCUAAACUGAACUUUUUCCCAUUCAGUCAGUAUUAGGGUUUUAAACCCUAAACUGAACUUUUUCCAUUCAGUCAGCAUUAGGGUUUUAAACCCUAAACUAAACUCUUUUCCAUUCAGUCAGCAUUAGGGUUUUAAACCCUAAACUAAACUUUUUCCUGUAGUCAGAGUCAGCAUUAGGGUUUUAAACCCUAAACUAAACUCUUUCCAGCCAGUCAGUAUUAGGGUUUUAAACCCUAAACUGAACUUUUUCCUGUAGUCAGUCAGCAUUAGGGUUUUAAACCCUAAACUGAACUCUUUCCAGCGAGUCAGUAUUAGGGUUUUAAACCCUAAACUGAACUUUCCCUUUAGUCAGCAUUAGGGUUUUAAACCCUAAACUAAACUCUUUCCUUCAGUCAACAUUAGGGUUUUAAACCCUA